AAGUAGUAAGUUUGUAAACGUUUACUUUGAAAGUAAGAAAGGAAAAAAGAAUUUUUCACUACUUU
RNAcentral lists this transfer RNA (65 nucleotides) under Ricinus sp. ADS-2020. Its description in RNAcentral is "tRNA-Ser". Lineage: Eukaryota; Metazoa; Arthropoda; Insecta; Psocodea; Ricinidae. The record is from RNAcentral.